UUGACAAGUGUAUCAGCAAGUCGAUCGUCACCGGUUUUCAGUGGGAUUUGAUUUUUGUUUCUGACACGCUGCCACACUGUUGUCAAAUUCAAGGU
Molecule: long non-coding RNA, 95 nt
Organism: Bradysia coprophila
Lineage: Eukaryota; Metazoa; Arthropoda; Insecta; Diptera; Sciaridae
Source: RefSeq, a predicted model, not a curated record